UUGAAUUUCGGGGUUAGUAGGUUGGUCAUGCCUCUGGUAUGUACUGGUCUCACUGAUUCCUCCUUCCUGAUGAGCCGUAAUGCCAUUAAUUUGGUGUUGCGGGGUAGUUUGGACUGUUACUUUGUAAAAAUUAAGGUGUUUAAAGCAAGCUAACGCUCGAAUACAUUAGCAUGGAAUAAUGAAAUAGGACGUUACGAUCCCAUUUUGUUGUUUUCUAGGAUUGACGUAAUGAUUAAUAGGGAUAGUUGGGGGCAUUAGUAUUCAAUUGUCAGAGGUGAAAUUCUUGGAUUUAUUGAAGACUAACUACUGCGAAAGCAUUUGCCAAGGAUGUUUUCAUUAAUCAAGAACGAAAGUUAGGGGAGCGAAGACGAUCAGAUACCGUCGUAGUCUUAACCAUAAACUAUGCCGACUAGGGAUCGGAUGAUGUUAAUUUUUUAAUGACUC
RNAcentral lists this ribosomal RNA (444 nucleotides) under fungal sp. RNAcentral describes it as "SSU rRNA". It matches the Rfam family "Eukaryotic small subunit ribosomal RNA", at positions 634 to 1077 of the family's 1831-position model. Lineage: Eukaryota; Fungi. The record is from RNAcentral.